CCGAGUUGCUGUAAGGAACUUAAAUCGAAUGUCGUCAUGUACUGUCAAAGUAAGGCUUUGAAGGUUGACAUUCGGUUUAAGUUCUUUUCUGCAACUAGC
RNAcentral lists this microRNA precursor (99 nucleotides) under Plutella xylostella (diamondback moth). RNAcentral describes it as "microRNA pxy-mir-8513 precursor". The record is from miRBase by way of RNAcentral. Lineage: Eukaryota; Metazoa; Arthropoda; Insecta; Lepidoptera; Plutellidae.